AAGGCAAGAAAGUACCACAUAGGGAUGUACUGGAAUCAGAAGUAAUGAUGUGAACUCAUGAUUUUUAAAAUAAGUAUAUAUAAAUAUGUGUGUGUAUAUGUGCACAUAUAUGUACAUACCUAUGUAUGUGUAUGUAUAUGUAUAUGUGUAUAUACAUGCAUGCAUUUCCUAGCUCUGUCUGCUGAAAGGGCCAAGAACGAAAUACAUCCCUGUAGCAAUAAGCACAUCUACUAUUCAAAUGAUCUAUUCUUGUGUAAAUUUUGGUUAAUUGUGUUUUUCUAGGAAUUCAUUCAUUUCAACUGAGUUUUCAAAUUUAAUGACAUUAAAUUACUAAUAAUAUUACAUAAUUCUUUUUUCACGUUCAUUGAUCUGUUGUUAUAGGCCUUUCUUUUUUUAAUUUCUGAUACAUUUUUUGUGUCUUUUCUAUUUUUUUCUUCAUCAGUUUUGCCAUGGUUUAUCCACUUUGUGAGUCUGUUCAAAGAACCAGCUUUAUUGAUCAUCUUUAUUGUGCUUGUUUCUUAAUUCAUCAUUCUAUUAUUUUAUUUAUUACCUAUUUCUUUCUACUUUGGAGGGGUUAAUUUUUUAAACUUUUUAAUUGAAGUAUAAUACACAUGCAGAAAAGUGCACAAAUUCUAAGCGUGUGUAGCUGCAUGAGUUUUUCACAAGGUGAAUAUACCUGUGUAAAUAGCACCUAGAUCAAGAGACAGAAUAUUAUCAGCAUCCUAGAAUCUCCUCCUCUGUACCCUCUUUCAGUUUCCAGCCCCUAAAAUAGACAUUAUCCUGACGUUUAACACCACACAUUCGUUUUGCUUGUUUUGAACUUUCCAUAAAUGGAGACAUGCAAUAUGUACUCGUGUGUGUCUGGCUUCUUUUGCUUAACCUGUUAUCUUUGGAUUUCAUUCAUGUUGUUCUAUGUAGCAGUAAUUCACUCUUUUUGUUGUUAAAUAAUGUUUUAUUGUUCUAGUCUCUAUUUUUGAUGAGGUCCAAUUUAUCAAUUUUUCCUUUUAUGGAUUAUUCUUUCAGUCAUAGUAAGAAUUAUUUGCCUAGCCAAAGAUUUUUCUCCUUUUUCUUUCUUUUACUUAUUUAUUUACUUAUUUUUUUUGAGACAGGGUCUUCAUCUGUAGCCCAGGCUGGAGUGCAGUGGCAUGAUCUCCACUCACUGCAACCUCUGCCUCCCGGGUUCAAGUGAUUCUUGUGCCUCAAACUCCUAUGUAGCUGGGACUACAGGUGCGUGCCACCACCCAGCUAAUUUUUUUUUUUUUUGUAUUUUUCAUAGAGACGGGUUUCUCCAUGUUGGCCAGGCGGGUUUCAAACUCCUGGCCUCAAGUGAUACACCUGCCUCGACAUCCUAAAGUGCUUGGAUUAUAGGUGUAAGCCACUACGCUCGGCCAUACGUUUUACAUUUAAGUUCAGAAUCCAUUUUAAAUUACUUUCUGUAUAAAGUACGAGGCUUAGAGCAAGAUUUUUUCUUUCCUAUUUUAUUUUCUCCUGUGUAUGUCUAUUUGCUUGAGUACCGUUUGCAAAAAAGGCUGUCCUUCCUCCAUUGCAUUGGUUUUGCACCUUUGUCAAAAAUGAGUUAGGCGUCCCUCUCCCUCUCCCUCUCCCUCUCCCUGCCUCUGCCUCUCCCUCUCCCCACGGUCUGCCUCUGCCUCUGCCUCUCCCUCUCCCCACGGUCUCCCUCUCCCUCUCUUUCCACGGUCUCCCUCUGAUGCCGAGCCGAAGCUGGACUGUACUGCUGCCAUCUCCGCUCACUGCAACCUCCCUGCCUGAUUCUCCUGCCUCAGCCUGCCGAGUGCCUGCGAUUGCAGGCGCGCGCCGCCACACCUGACUGGUUUUCGUAUUUUUUUGGUGGAGACGGGGUUUCGCUGUGUUGGCCGGGCUGGUCUCCAGCUCCUAACCGCGAGUGAUCUGCCAGCCACGGCCUCCCGAGGUGCCGGUAUUGCGGACGGAGUCUCGUUCACUCAGUGCUCAAUGUUGCCCAGGCUGGAGUGCAGUGGCGUGAUCUCGGCUCGCUACAACCUCCACCUCCCAGCAGCCUACCUUGGCCUCCCAAAGUGCAGAGAUUGCAGCCUCUGCCCGGCCGCCACCCCGUCUGGGAAGUGAGGAGCGUCUCUGCCUGGCCGCCCAUCCGUCUGGGUGGGG
RNAcentral lists this long non-coding RNA (2142 nucleotides) under Homo sapiens (human). RNAcentral's name for it is "HSALNT0329663". Lineage: Eukaryota; Metazoa; Chordata; Mammalia; Primates; Hominidae. The record is from RNAcentral.